Molecule: non-coding RNA, 135 nt
Organism: Triticum aestivum (bread wheat)
Lineage: Eukaryota; Viridiplantae; Streptophyta; Magnoliopsida; Poales; Poaceae
Source: Rfam
GUAGUAUUCCCUCCGUCCCAAAAUUCUUGUCUUACAUUUGUUUAGAUAUGGAUGUAUCUAACACUAAAAUGUAACUAGAUACAUCCGUAUUUAGAAAAAUUUAAGACAAGAAUUUUGGGACGGAGGGAGUACAAA